RNAcentral lists this ribosomal RNA (459 nucleotides) under uncultured bacterium. RNAcentral describes it as "partial 16S ribosomal RNA". It matches the Rfam family "Bacterial small subunit ribosomal RNA", at positions 338 to 795 of the family's 1533-position model. The record is from RNAcentral.
CCUACGGGUGGCUGCAGUGAGGAAUAUUGGUCAAUGGUCGGGAGACUGAACCAGCCAAGCCGCGUGAGGGAUGAAGGUACAGAGUAUCGUAAACCUCUUUUGUCAGGGAACAAAGGCGGGGACGUGUCCCCGGAUGAGUGUACCUGAAGAAAAAGCAUCGGCUAACUCGUUGCCAGCAGCCGCGGUAAUACGGAGGAUGCGAGCGUUAUCCGGAUUUAUUGUGUUAAAAGGUUGCGCAGGGGGUCUGUUAAUUCAGCGGAAAACGCCCGGGUCUCAACCCCGGCCCGCCGUUGAAACUUGCAGUCUCGAGUUGGAGAGAAGUAUGCGGAAUGCGCGGUGUAGCGGUGAAAUGCAUAGAUAUCGCGCAGAACUCCGAUUGCGAAGGCAGCAUGCCGGCUCCACACUGACGCUGAGGCACGAAAGCGUGGGUAUCGAACAGGAUUAGAUACCCCAGUAGUC